GACAGAGGUGCCGAGCGUUAGGCGGAAUCACUGGGCUUAAAGCGUGUGUAGGCGGGUCGUUAAGUGUCCGCGUGAAAUCCCACGGCUCAACCGUGGAACUGCCGGGCAUACUGGCGAUCUUGAGGCAUUCAGGGGCGAGCGGAACAAAUGGUGGAGCGGUGAAAUGCGUAGAUAUCAUUUGGAACGCCAAUGGUGAAAACAGCUCGCUGGGAAUGAUCUGACACUGAGACGCGAAAGCCAGGGGAGCGAACGGG
This 254-nucleotide ribosomal RNA is filed under the name uncultured bacterium. Its description in RNAcentral is "partial 16S ribosomal RNA". It matches the Rfam family "Bacterial small subunit ribosomal RNA", at positions 524 to 776 of the family's 1533-position model. The record is from RNAcentral.